RNAcentral lists this ribosomal RNA (255 nucleotides) under uncultured bacterium. RNAcentral describes it as "partial 16S ribosomal RNA". It matches the Rfam family "Bacterial small subunit ribosomal RNA", at positions 524 to 776 of the family's 1533-position model. The record is from RNAcentral.
UACGUAGGGCGCAAGCGUAUCCGGAAUUAUUGGGCGUAAAGAGCUCGUAGGCGGUUUGUCGCGUCUGCCGUGAAAGUCCGGGGGCUCAACUCCGGAUCUGCGGUGGGUACGGGCAGACUAGAGUGAUGUAGGGGAGACUGGAAUUCCUGGUGUAGCGGUGGAAUGCGCAGAUAUCAGGGAGGAACACCGGAGGCGAAGGCGGCUUGCUGGGCUUGGUCUGACGCUGGAGGCGCGAAAGCGUGGGGAGCGAACAGG